RNAcentral lists this transfer RNA (72 nucleotides) under Camelus bactrianus (Bactrian camel). It matches the Rfam family "tRNA". From Rfam's summary of the family: Transfer RNA (tRNA) molecules are approximately 80 nucleotides in length. Their secondary structure includes four short double-helical elements and three loops (D, anti-codon, and T loops). Further hydrogen bonds mediate the characteristic L-shaped molecular structure. tRNAs have two regions of fundamental functional importance: the anti-codon, which is responsible for specific mRNA codon recognition, and the 3' end, to which the tRNAs corresponding amino acid is attached (by aminoacyl-tRNA synthetases). tRNAs cope with the degeneracy of the genetic code in two manners: having more than one tRNA (with a specific anti-codon) for a particular amino acid; and 'wobble' base-pairing, i.e. permitting non-standard base-pairing at the 3rd anti-codon position. Lineage: Eukaryota; Metazoa; Chordata; Mammalia; Artiodactyla; Camelidae. RNAcentral also lists the same sequence under 2 other names. The record is from Rfam by way of RNAcentral.
AGAUAUAUAGCUCAGUGGUAGCACGUGUGCCUAGCAUGCAUGAGGUCCUGGGUUCAAUCCCCAGUACCUCCA